Molecule: ribosomal RNA, 438 nt
Filed under: uncultured bacterium
Lineage: Bacteria
Description: bacterial SSU rRNA
Rfam family: Bacterial small subunit ribosomal RNA
Source: RNAcentral
CCUACGGGAGGCAGCAGUGGGGAAUAUUGGGCAAUGGGCGCAAGCCUGACCCAGCAACGCCGCGUGAAGGAAGAAGGCCCUCGGGUUGUAAACUUCUUUUAUAUAGGACGAAGAAGUGACGGUACUAUAUGAAUAAGCCACGGCUAACUACGUGCCAGCAGCCGCGGUAAUACGUAGGUGGCAAGCGUUAUCCGGAUUUACUGGGUGUAAAGGGCGUGUAGGCGGGAGAGCAAGUCAGAUGUGAAAACUACAGGCUUAACCUGUAGCCUGCAUUUGAAACUGUUCUUCUUGAGUGAUGGAGAGGCAGGCGGAAUUCCUAGUGUAGCGGUGAAAUGCGUAGAUAUUAGGAGGAACACCAGUGGCGAAGGCGGCCUGCUGGACAUUAACUGACGCUGAGGCGCGAAAGCGUGGGGAGCAAACAGGAUUAGAUACCCUUGU